RNAcentral lists this ribosomal RNA (197 nucleotides) under uncultured bacterium. Its description in RNAcentral is "partial 16S ribosomal RNA". It matches the Rfam family "Bacterial small subunit ribosomal RNA", at positions 329 to 539 of the family's 1533-position model. The record is from RNAcentral.
ACCUCGACACCUACGAGAGGCAGCAGUGGGGAAUAUUGCACAAUGGGGGAAACCCUGAUGCAGCGACGCCGCGUGGAGGAAGAAGGUCUUCGGAUUGUAAACUCCUGUUGUUGGGGAAAAAGAGGAUGGUACCCAACAAGGAAGUGACGGCUAACUACGUGCCUGCAGCCGCGGUAAUCUGAGCGGGCUGGCAAGGC